UCUUUGAGGCACUUUUUCAGGGCACUGCUACCACACACUCCAUAUUUGUUAACAUGCUUUUAAUGAAUCAACUCGCAAUGAAUCAGCUGGCAAUCUCCAACACAUUCUUCAGCACUGUGAGUUGAGUACCUCUUCAGAAUGUUCCCUGAUUCUUCCAGGAAGAAAUAAAUGAGAUAUUUUUAUGUCAUCUUCAUGUUGUAACCAGACAUACAGAUGAAUUAUUUAUACUCAUCGCUGUGUUUGAAUCAGUGGAGAAGUCACCUACUAAAUCACCUCCUCAGAGGACAGAGUGUUGGUUAUGUGGUAUGGAAUGGAGC
Long non-coding RNA from Canis lupus familiaris (dog), 317 nucleotides. RefSeq lists it as uncharacterized. NCBI's taxonomy places the organism in Eukaryota, Metazoa, Chordata, Mammalia, Carnivora, Canidae. The record is from RefSeq and is a predicted model, not a curated record. The transcript is spliced from 3 exons.